Molecule: ribosomal RNA, 557 nt
Filed under: uncultured bacterium
Lineage: Bacteria
Description: bacterial SSU rRNA
Rfam family: Bacterial small subunit ribosomal RNA
Source: RNAcentral
AUUCGAAGCAACGCGAAAGAACCUUUACCAGGUCUUGACAUCCUGCUGACCAUCCGGGUAACGCCGGACUUCCUUCGGGACAGCAGAGACAGGUGGUGCAUGGUUGUCGUCAGCUCGUGUCGUGAGAUGUUGGGUUAAGUCCCGCAACGAGCGCAACCCUUGUUCUCAGUAGCCAGCGGUUUAAGCCGGGCACUCUGGGGAGACUGCCGGGGAUAACCCGGAGGAAGGCGGGGAUGACGUCAAAUCAUCAUGCCCCUUAUGAUCUGGGCUACACACGUGCUACAAUGGCUGCUACAAAGAGAGGCGAAUCCGCGAGGAAGAGCAAAUCCCAAAAAGGCGGCCCCAGUUCGGAUUGUAGUCUGCAACUCGACUACAUGAAGCUGGAAUCGCUAGUAAUCGCGAAUCAGCAUGUCGCGGUGAAUGCGUUCCCGGGUCUUGUACACACCGCCCGUCAAACCAUGGGAGUUGGUAAUGCCCGAAGUCAGUGACCCAACCGCAAGGAGGGAGCUGCCGAAGGCAGGACCAGUGACUGGGGUUAAGUCGUAACAAGGUAGCCG